Molecule: long non-coding RNA, 457 nt
Organism: Dermochelys coriacea (leatherback sea turtle)
Lineage: Eukaryota; Metazoa; Chordata; Testudines; Dermochelyidae
Exons: 3
Source: RefSeq, a predicted model, not a curated record
CGGGUCGGCGGGCGGGCGGGCGCGCGCGUGGCCCUGCUUGGGGGCGGGCCUUGCCCAGCCCCGCGUGCCGUGCGCUCGCGGGCCUAGCGCCAACCGCGGCCUCCCCUCCCCCCCUCCGCAAUGGGUGGUGCCGGCGGGAGCAUUGUGCGCAGCGCGCGCUCCGGCCCGGCCGGCCGGCGGUGACUGGUGCUGAGGGGAGCCCGGCCCGGCCCGGCCCGGCGCGGCGCGAGCAGGUAAUGCUAAUAUAGGGGAGUUCAUCUGACCUCAGAUCAUGCUUCUCUGCACCUCCUCACAUCAGAGAACGGUGGCCAUUGGGGCCUCCUUCAUCGCAACACAGGAGUAUUGCUUCCAGACCCAUCCAUCCCCUAGGGAAUGCAUUUCUCCAUUCCUCUCUCAGCUGCAUGUGUUUCAAGGAUCACAGGAUCUUCUCCUUCCCAGAGGCUAGCGAAGAUUAGAA